Molecule: long non-coding RNA, 438 nt
Organism: Siniperca chuatsi (mandarin fish)
Lineage: Eukaryota; Metazoa; Chordata; Actinopteri; Centrarchiformes; Sinipercidae
Exons: 4
Source: RefSeq, a predicted model, not a curated record
AAGUAAAGGAAAUAAUGACCCACCUACGUAUGUAGGCUAUCCCGCCCAGCAGUCUGAACCGUUUUACUCCGAGCUGAUAAUUGGCGUUUAUCCCGCUCUUUAUGAACACGCUUCAUAAAGACGUGUGGAGGACGAGAGGAAAAGGGAGAGAGACUGGAGGAAAAAAGAACUGGAGUUUCUUCUGAGCUAUGAGAAGGCUGCAGGUGGACUGGUGUUUACAUGGUUGGUGGGAACUAUGGAGUCAGUGGAUGACAUCUUGGAAGAAGAGGGAACGUUAUACAAACAAACUGAGAGAACAUCUUUGUGCUGAAGCUCUGAGACGGACAACAUGGCAACGGAAAGAGAGACAGUCAAAUCCACAAUGGCACAGAUUAACGGACACAGAGGGAAAAUAACGAUAGAAAAGCGGAGAAGAUAACAAUCGAUAGUAAGACGAAG